GCUGAGGCAGCUCCGCGGAGUGUGAUGAAUAGGUAUCCCGGAUGGAGGAGCCCAACUGAAUGAGGUGCCUGAGAGCACACGUGGCCUUUCCGCCCACCCCCCUCAGACCUGGUGUUUUUUAUAUCACCUUUAGUGGAAAGGAAAGCAUGUUGUUCUAACUCCACGGAACUCUGAGCUAUGUAAACAACAGGCAUGGAGCUUGGAACAAAAAUCACCUACAGGGCAGACAGAGUCACACUAGAAAUCCCUAAGAGGCAGAGGCUGAGGCUCCAACGUUCCGAGCUGCAGCACGAAAGAGCCCCAGGCCCAGCCUUCCCCCGGGACCCUGCAGCCUGCAGAUCUCACGGUCAGGGAAUUUUCCUGUGCAGUGUUCCAAGCCGGCAGAGCCUCCAGAACAAAGGGCCAGUGUCUUGUCAUAUUUACCUUGGCUACAUAACCCUGGUUUGUAUCUCCAGCGAGACAGCAGUUUUUUGAAGCAAGAACGAGUCUGGAGACAGAUGACCCAAGUCUGGAAGGAGUCCCAAGAAGAAGGAAAUGUAAAAUAAUGAAGUUACUGGCUUUUCACUCAAUCAGACUUCAGUUCCAUCACACACUUUAUAGUGUUUUUUGUAUGUGUGAAACCUUUAUAGUGUCUCUGUUUGUUAUACAAAUCAUUAAAACAUAUAAAGCAUUAACUGGCUCAUCUUAGGUAUUAAAUAAAUGGCAACU
Long non-coding RNA from Talpa occidentalis (Iberian mole), 708 nucleotides. RefSeq lists it as uncharacterized. Lineage: Eukaryota; Metazoa; Chordata; Mammalia; Eulipotyphla; Talpidae. The transcript is spliced from 3 exons. The record is from RefSeq and is a predicted model, not a curated record.